This 792-nucleotide ribosomal RNA is filed under the name uncultured archaeon. RNAcentral describes it as "bacterial SSU rRNA". It matches the Rfam family "Archaeal small subunit ribosomal RNA", at positions 85 to 879 of the family's 1478-position model. The record is from RNAcentral.
ACGGCUCAGUAACACGUGGAUAACCUACCCUCAGAUCUGGGAUAACUCCGGGAAACUGGAGAUAAUACCGGAUAAUCCGUGAACGCUGGAAUGCCUCACGGUUGAAAGCUUUAGCGUCUGAGGAUGGGUCUGCGGCCGAUUAGGUAGUUGCUGGGGUAACGUCCCAACAAGCCGAUAAUCGGUACGGGUUGUGCGAGCAAGAGCCCGGAGAUGGAUUCUGAGACACGAAUCCAGGCCCUACGGGGCGCAGCAGGCGCGAAAACUUUACACUGCGCGAAAGCGCGAUAAGGGGACCUCGAGUGCGUGCGCAAUGCGUACGCUUUUCAGAUGCCUAAAAAGCAUCUGGAAUAAGGGCCGGGCAAGACCGGUGCCAGCCGCCGCGGUAACACCGGCGGCUCAAGUGGUGGCCGCUAUUAUUGGGCUUAAAGGGUCCGUAGCCGGACCAGUUAGUCCCUUGGGAAAUCUUACGGCUUAACCGUAAGGCUGCCAAUGGAUACUGCUGGUCUUGGGACCGGGAGAGGUAAGAGGUACUUCAGGGGUAGGAGUGAAAUCCUGUAAUCCUUGAGGGACCGCCAGUGGCGAAGGCGUCUUACUAGAACGGGUCCGACGGUGAGGGACGAAAGCUAGGGGCACGAACCGGAUUAGAUACCCGGGUAGUCCUAGCCGUAAACGAUGCGAGCUAGGUGUCACGUGGAUUGCGAAUCCAUGUGGUGCCGAAGGGAAACCGUGAAGCUCGCCGCCUGGGAAGUACGGCCGCAAGGCUGAAACUUAAAGGAAUUGGCGGGGGAGCAC